UACGUAGGGCGCGAGCGUUGUCCGGAAUUAUUGGGCGUAAAGAGCUCGUAGGCGGCUGGUUGCGUCUGCUGUGAAAUCCCGGGGCUUAACCCCGGGCGUGCAGUGGAUACGGGCCGGCUGGAGGCAGGCAGGGGAGAAUGGAAUUCCCGGUGUAGCGGUGAAAUGCGCAGAUAUCGGGAGGAACACCGGUGGCGAAGGCGGUUCUCUGGGCCUGUACUGACGCUGAGGAGCGAAAGCGUGGGGAGCAAACAGG
This 253-nucleotide ribosomal RNA is filed under the name uncultured bacterium. Its description in RNAcentral is "partial 16S ribosomal RNA". It matches the Rfam family "Bacterial small subunit ribosomal RNA", at positions 524 to 776 of the family's 1533-position model. The record is from RNAcentral.